GUGUUGUAUGAAAGAGAGAAGGUGCGCAGUCCCCUUGACAAGGAGGGACGAGGCUGUUGGGCCUGAUGCCAUGCACACGGGCAGGGCAUUGCUGCCUCCCUGGCGGCCCCUGAGCAUCAUCUUUU
Molecule: non-coding RNA, 125 nt
Filed under: Zalophus californianus (California sea lion)
Lineage: Eukaryota; Metazoa; Chordata; Mammalia; Carnivora; Otariidae
Source: RNAcentral